GACUGUCAAGUACCUGUUCCCAUACCACCAGUUCUAAUUUAGUCACAUUUACAAUGUCAUAAUCAGAAGGAAUAUUUAACACUGCCCACAGAGCCCGUCAGCAUUCUAAUCCUCCCCUUCCACCAUCCAUUCCUCCACACAGGUUCUCUUGGGUGGUUAUCAAGAGAUUGUCAGUAACUUCAUCUCUUUUGUGGAAUGCUCCUGUUCCACAGAUUUGUGUUCUGUGGAUUUCCUAACGACCCAAUUUCUGCCAGUGUUGGUUUCUAGAGGAGAAUAGGUGGAGACUUAUUGACAGGCACGUCUGGAAAAGCUUCUGUUGCUGCUGCUUACUACGACUGAUUUUGAAAGAAGGAACUUCAAUCUUAAGGG
Molecule: long non-coding RNA, 369 nt
Filed under: Manacus vitellinus (golden-collared manakin)
Lineage: Eukaryota; Metazoa; Chordata; Aves; Passeriformes; Pipridae
Description: lncRNA (ENSMVIG00005011951.1)
Source: RNAcentral